This 468-nucleotide ribosomal RNA is filed under the name uncultured bacterium. Its description in RNAcentral is "partial 16S ribosomal RNA". It matches the Rfam family "Bacterial small subunit ribosomal RNA", at positions 28 to 507 of the family's 1533-position model. The record is from RNAcentral.
GAUGAACGCUGGCGGCGUGCUUUACACAUGCAAGUCGAACGGAAAGGCCAGUGCUUGCACUGGUACUCGAGUGGCGAACGGGUGAGUAACACGUGGGUGAUCUGCCCUGCACUUCGGGAUAAGCCUGGGAAACUGGGUCUAAUACCGGAUAGGACAAUGGUUUGGAUGCCGUUGUGGAAAGUUUUUUCGGUGUGGGAUGAGCUCACGGCCUAUCAGCUUGUUGGUGGGGUAAUGGCCUACCAAGGCGUCGACGGGUAGCCGGCCUGAGAGGGUGUACGGCCACAUUGGGACUGAGAUACGGCCCAGACUCCUACGGGAGGCAGCAGUGGGGAAUAUUGCACAAUGGGCGCAAGCCUGAUGCAGCGACGCCGCGUGGGGGAUGACGGCCUUCGGGUUGUAAACUCCUUUCGCUAGGGACGAAGCGUAUUUGUGACGGUACCUGGAGAAGAAGCACCGGCUAACUACGUG